This is a non-coding RNA of Aegilops tauschii subsp. strangulata, 500 nucleotides long. Lineage: Eukaryota; Viridiplantae; Streptophyta; Magnoliopsida; Poales; Poaceae. The record is from RefSeq and is a predicted model, not a curated record.
UUUGUGAAACGCGAGAGCAAACCAGAAGCGGGGAAGGUUAAAUCUAUGUUCUGUUGUGUCUUUUUGCUAUGAAUUCUGACCCCAGAUUUAUUUAUAUUUCCUCGGAAUUGGUAUUUAGGGUUUCCCUUCCCUUUUUCAGAAGCUGAAAACAUGCAAUCAUUUUGAGUGGCUGGAUGAAUACGUUGAGAGGCUUCAAACGGAUGGCUUAAUUGAUUUGAGGCACGGGGCAACCCUAGAGGUAGAUCUGCCAUCGGCGGUGGAUAAUAAGGGCUAUGCCAAUGUUCCUCCGAUGGUGGCGGAUGCGGAACUCAAGGUGGAAUUGAAGAAGAUCAACAAGAACUUAAGGCAGUUGAUCGAUCUGAAGAAGCACGCAAAUCUGAUGGCCGCGGGAUUUUAUUUUUCAAUAAUUGUUGUGGGAUUUGUUUACUUGUUGAUCAUCAGUCGUUAGUAGUUGUUAACAAAUUAUUUCAGUCAGCUUCUGUAUAAGCAAUGUCAUGUGU